This is a long non-coding RNA of Diceros bicornis minor, 716 nucleotides long. RefSeq lists it as uncharacterized. NCBI's taxonomy places the organism in Eukaryota, Metazoa, Chordata, Mammalia, Perissodactyla, Rhinocerotidae. The transcript is spliced from 6 exons. The record is from RefSeq and is a predicted model, not a curated record.
CAGCACCCCUGCCUUUCUUAUGCAAUUCCCUUUAGGGCAGAUAUUCCCUAGAAGGCCCACAGCCUCCUCCCUGGCUUGGCCUGAUGGAUCCCGGGUCAAAGAACAAGAGCAGAGGUCAUCAAAAGGUCAAGUCUAAUCUACCUACAGAUGUGGCAGGCUUAGCUAUGGAUGUUCAAGCCAGACAUUGCCAGGAGAACCACAUCUCUUCACCCAUAGCAUGGACUGUAGGAGAAAGCCCAGAGGAGCAAUGAAGACAAAGAAGACAUGACACCUGCAAAAAGUCAGUGGAGUAUUUCUACAUAAGAAACAUUCCAGGCUGCCAUGAUCCUCCCUCUGAACCCCAUGGUCAGUGUCGCUGCAGAGAUCCUCCCUUUGGACCCUGCCUGCCUGAAGGGCCCAUACCUUGAUCAGACGUCUUAGAACGACUGCCCUUAGCCAUGUCAUAAAAAGGAGAAAACAUCAUAUUUGACAACCCCAAUUCCUGCAUUAUACAGACAGGAAACUCAGGUGCACUUCACCACACGCUUCUCAGUUGCGUGGAUGCACAUCUCCACUUCUUUGCAGGGAGGACGAACAACAGCAGAAUACCCGUGGCCUGACUUUCUGGAGCAUCAGUAUUACUACAAGAUUUGGAAAAACCAAAGUUAGGUCAUUUCCAAGAGCCUACCCAUAGACAAAGCCAAGAUUUAAUCUGCAAGAGUCUGCCAGGCACUCUG